This 323-nucleotide small nuclear RNA is filed under the name Saimiri boliviensis boliviensis (Bolivian squirrel monkey). RNAcentral describes it as "7SK RNA (ENSSBOG00000007484.1)". The stretch from base 1 to 271 matches the Rfam family "7SK RNA". From Rfam's summary of the family: 7SK was discovered as an abundant small nuclear RNA in the mid-70s but a possible function has only recently been suggested. Two independent studies have found that 7SK RNA binds the CDK9/cyclin T complex (known as elongation factor P-TEFb). Lineage: Eukaryota; Metazoa; Chordata; Mammalia; Primates; Cebidae. The record is from RNAcentral.
GGAAGUGAGGGCAAUCUGGCUGUGACAUCUGUCAUCCCAUUGAUCAUUAGGGUUAAUUUGGCUGAUCUGGCUAGCUAGGCUGGUGUCCCCUCCUUCCCUCAACAUUUGAUGUGUGUCCUUCCAGCAGCUGUGAGCUUGGUCGAAGAGAAUGACCACUCCAAUGGAGAAGCACCAGUCUUUGGUCAAGCAAAUGCAAGUAGCUGCACUCCCCUACAGCCUGCAAAUAAGUUCUCACAGUGGCCUGGGUUGAUCUGGGAUUUCUCCUCUCUCCUGAUAUUAAACAAUGACCAAGGACAAAGGCAAGUAUUAGCCUUAAAUAUUUG